Molecule: ribosomal RNA, 464 nt
Filed under: uncultured bacterium
Lineage: Bacteria
Description: partial 16S ribosomal RNA
Rfam family: Bacterial small subunit ribosomal RNA
Source: RNAcentral
GACGAACGCUGGCGGCGUGCUUAACACAUGCAAGUCGAACGGAAAGGCACCUUUGGCUUUCCUCUACUGGCGAACGGUGGCGUAACACGUAGGUAACCUGCCCUUUACUUCGUUAUAACGUCGGUAAAGUGGGGCUAAUACCGCAUAGGACUCCUUGCAGCUUGGUGGGGGUUGGAAAGCUUCUGCGGUUUUGGGUGGACUCAGGGCUUAUCAGCUUGUUGGUGGGGUAGUGGCUUACGAAGGCUUUGACGGGUAGCCGGCCUGAGAGGGCGACCGGCGACAUGGGGACUGAGAUACGGACCAGACUGCUACGGGGGGCAGCAGUGGGGAAUAUGGCACAAUGGGCGGAAGCCUGAUGCAGCAACGUCGCGUGCGGGAUGACGUCCUGCGGGUUGUAAACCGCUUUCAGCAGGGGCGAAGCUUUUGUGACGGUACCUGAAGAAGAAGCACCGGCUAACUACGUG